UGUAAUAUUAUCUAGAUCAUGGGCUCAUGCAGCAAUCCCAGCACUGCUACAUUUGCCACCUACAUAAUGAUGCACUGGGACGAUAUGUAAUCAAACAGGGGAGCCACAGGCGCUUCUCGUCGGAGGAUUUCAAAGACGUAUGAAUUGGGCCUCACAACAGCCCUGGCUGUCAGGACCUGGAUCUCUAGCACCAAGAGUCCUGCCCCCUUUCACUGCUCCCUGCACUGCCCGUCCUCAGAGGGAUGCACAACGCCCACAGGUGAGGAGACCAGCCCCACUGUGACUGUCAGGCUUCCAGGAGAGAGACACACUUCUAAUAGAUGAGCCCAGAGGGAGAAACUCCUACUGUCUUUUGGAGCUGUUGCCUACCAAUCACCAGGGCUCCUGGCCUGAGCUACAGUGAUG
Molecule: long non-coding RNA, 405 nt
Organism: Gopherus evgoodei (Goodes thornscrub tortoise)
Lineage: Eukaryota; Metazoa; Chordata; Testudines; Testudinidae
Exons: 3
Source: RefSeq, a predicted model, not a curated record